GGGGAUUUAGCUCAAUGGUAGAGCGCUUGCCUAGCAAACGCAAGGCCCUGGGUUCGGUCCCCAGCUCCG
Rattus norvegicus (Norway rat) is the source of this 69-nucleotide non-coding RNA. Lineage: Eukaryota; Metazoa; Chordata; Mammalia; Rodentia; Muridae. The record is from Rfam.